This 1215-nucleotide long non-coding RNA is filed under the name Homo sapiens (human). Its description in RNAcentral is "HSALNT0117302". The record is from RNAcentral. Lineage: Eukaryota; Metazoa; Chordata; Mammalia; Primates; Hominidae.
GUGGGCGGCCCUUCCGGGGGCGUGGCCAGGCAGGUGGGCGGCCCUUCUGGGGGCGUGGCCAGGCAGGUGGGCGGCCCUUCCGGGGGCGUGGCCAGGCAGGUGGGCGGCCCUUCCGGGGGCGUGGGCAGGUGGGCGACCCUUGGGGGGCAUGGGCAGGUGAGUGGCCCUUCAGGGGCGUGGCAUGUGCAGGUGGGCAGCCCUUCCAAGGGCGCGGCCAGGCAGUUGGGCGGCUCUUCCAGGGACAUGGGCAGAUGGGCCACCCUUGGGGUGCAUGGGCAGGAUUGCACUCACCAGCGUCUGAGGGAUCCGGAAGCCCCAGAUGUAGCCCCGUCCCCGGGACUUGGCAAGAGGAGGAACGCAGGCACAGACAGCCCCUGGGGGAUGCCAGGAGGGACCCCCCCACUCAGAACCCCACAGCAGGAGCUCAAGAAUGCACUCUGGGGCAGGGUGGCUGGAGGGCCCUGCACUGAAGCCCACGGUGCUGGCUGGUAUUGAUCCCACUCGCCCGUCUCAGCCUCUGGCUCCGGUCCCCUCCCUGCUCUGCCAGAGGUCCCAACAACCACAACCGUCUGUCACCCUCCCAGUGAGGCAGGAGAGCACCUGGCCCUGAGUCCCGUUUGUCCCAUUUGUCCAGUGGAGCAGCCACCGGCCCUGACCUGGACCACGUGCUGGGCGCCUCCUGGCAGCCCGUUCUGCUCCCGAAUGCCCCGGCUUAGUCAGUCUGGGAUGCGGCCCUGGACACCGGGCUUUAUGCAGCUCUGAAGUGAUCCCAGCACACAGCCCGGGUCAAGCUCAGCGCUCGGCAACCAUAGGCACCCAACAACGGGCUGCAGCCAUCAGUAACAACGGCAGCUCCAACGCCCAGAGAACUCACGGAGCAGACACACAUCAGAUGAAGACGCGGAGGCCUGAGCGCUGGGGGUCGCCCGGGGCUGCACAGCGGGUCAGAGGCCAACCCUGGGCGGAGCCAGGCCACACCCUCCCUCAAGGAUUCACAGUCUCCCCAAAGUAACCGCAACGAGGGACCCUCCCGUCACCAAACUUCCUUUCAGUCACUUCCGCUUGUACUAAUUCUGGCCCAACCGUUCAUUAUAUUUUUACAAUUCUUAUCUUGGUGUGUAUUUUUUGACCCUAAAAAUCCUAACUCCAUUCCAUCAAUAUUUUGUAUAUGCAGAUUUCUAGCACAGUAAGUCAUAAAAUGUGCCUCUCCUGGCA